Molecule: ribosomal RNA, 468 nt
Filed under: uncultured bacterium
Lineage: Bacteria
Description: bacterial SSU rRNA
Rfam family: Bacterial small subunit ribosomal RNA
Source: RNAcentral
ACUCCUACGGGAGGCAGCAGUGGGGAAUUUUGGACAAUGGGCGCAAGCCUGAUCCAGCCAUGCCGCGUGAGUGAAGAAGGCCUUCGGGUUGUAAAGCUCUUUCGGCCGGGAAGAAAUCGUGGUCUCUAACAUAGGCCAUGGAUGACGGUACCGGACUAAGAAGCACCGGCUAACUACGUGCCAGCAGCCGCGGUAAUACGUAGGGUGCGAGCGUUAAUCGGAAUUACUGGGCGUAAAGCGUGCGCAGGCGGUUUUGUAAGACAGAUGUGAAAUCCCCGGGCUUAACCUGGGAACUGCGUUUGUGACUGCAAGGCUAGAGUACGGCAGAGGGGGGUGGAAUUCCUGGUGUAGCAGUGAAAUGCGUAGAGAUCAGGAGGAACACCGAUGGCGAAGGCAGCCCCCUGGGCCUGUACUGACGCUCAUGCACGAAAGCGUGGGGAGCAAACAGGAUUAGAUACCCUGGUAGUC